UCUUCUCUCUCUCUCUCCAGCCAUCUUCCAUGCCUGAGGAGCAAGAAACCCUAGGGUUUCUUGCUGCCAGUCCAUAAAAGGAAAGAAAGGAAGGGAGGCGCUAGCCCCUUCCCCCUUGCAGCCGCCUACCAGAUCUGCUCUCCCCCUCUUACAGGCACCCAAACACUAGGUCCAAGACCUAGAAUAUCUUGAAAAGAGGUUGGUACAAGUCCCUCUCAGAUCUGGA
Molecule: long non-coding RNA, 226 nt
Filed under: Elaeis guineensis (African oil palm)
Lineage: Eukaryota; Viridiplantae; Streptophyta; Magnoliopsida; Arecales; Arecaceae
Description: long non-coding RNA (EGUI_LNC081798)
Source: RNAcentral